RNAcentral lists this ribosomal RNA (341 nucleotides) under uncultured Desulfobulbus sp. RNAcentral describes it as "bacterial SSU rRNA". It matches the Rfam family "Bacterial small subunit ribosomal RNA", at positions 1041 to 1382 of the family's 1533-position model. Lineage: Bacteria; Pseudomonadati; Thermodesulfobacteriota; Desulfobulbia; Desulfobulbales; Desulfobulbaceae. The record is from RNAcentral.
CUGCAUGGCUGUCGUCAGCUCGUUGUCGUGAGAUGUUGGGUUAAGUCCCGCAACGAGCGCAACCCUUGCCUUUAGUUGCCAGCAGUUCGGCUGGGCACUCUAAAGGGACUGCCGGUGUUAAACCGAGGAAGGUGGGGAUGACGUCAAGUCCUCAUGGCCUUUAUGACCAGGGCUACACACGUACUACAAUGGCCGAUACAAAGGGCAGCGACACUGCGAGGUGAAGCCAAUCCCGUAAAAUCGGUCUCAGUCCGGAUUGGAGUCUGCAACUCGACUCCAUGAAGUUGGAAUCGCUAGUAAUCGUGGAUCAGCAUGCCACGGUGAAUACGUUCCCGGGCCUU